CUAGUAAGAUCCCUGAAAGAUGAUCAGGUAGAUAGGUUCGAGGUGGAAGCGUGGCGACACGUGGAGCUGACGAAUACUAAUCGAUCGAGGACUUAACCAAAA
RNAcentral lists this ribosomal RNA (102 nucleotides) under Pseudobacillus badius. RNAcentral's name for it is "Bacillus badius partial 23S ribosomal RNA". It matches the Rfam family "Bacterial large subunit ribosomal RNA", at positions 2825 to 2925 of the family's 2925-position model. The record is from RNAcentral. Lineage: Bacteria; Bacillati; Bacillota; Bacilli; Caryophanales; Bacillaceae.